UGGAAGAACAAUAUUACAGAGAGAUGGUUCUGCCAGAAGACCAGUUAAUAAACCCCCUAGAAGUCCUGCCACAGCAUGUGUGUGAAACACAGCAAGUGUAUCAUCCACCUGCUGUAGAAAAGUGGACUUUUUGUGGAGUAUCAUCAUGGAAUACCAUGGAAUGCUUCCAGCAAGAAUUCCCAUUACUAUGGCUGCCCAAGCUUGCACCACUCCUGCUCCAGGAGUUACACAAGCUAGGCCGGUCAUCAUUCCUUGAAUCGCUCCAAUAACGGAUGGCUUGCCAAAGUAAAAAACAUCUAGG
RNAcentral lists this unclassified non-coding RNA (301 nucleotides) under Hevea brasiliensis (rubber tree). The record is from RNAcentral. Lineage: Eukaryota; Viridiplantae; Streptophyta; Magnoliopsida; Malpighiales; Euphorbiaceae.